RNAcentral lists this long non-coding RNA (467 nucleotides) under Hordeum vulgare. RNAcentral describes it as "long non-coding RNA (HVUL_LNC000706)". The record is from RNAcentral. Lineage: Eukaryota; Viridiplantae; Streptophyta; Magnoliopsida; Poales; Poaceae.
UAUGGUAUCAUCAGUUUUGCUGACAAGUUCCUGAAUGCAUCUGCUAUCUUGAUGCUUAUGCAUGUAAUUCAUAGCGGUAUUUAAAUCGACCUAUAGUUGAAACUCGAAAGGCAUCUCAAUGCAUCGCAGAGAUAUUUUUAUUAAGCCAAAGUGAUUAGUACAUCACGUGAGGCAGUGGACUCUAAGGAUACUUUGGCGCGUGACUAUCGACCCACACAUCGAUAUUCCAUUUGCUCGUAGGUCCCCAUAGACCUGAUGUGGCUAUUGGUACUCACGUGUUUCAUCUCUUGAUAAAGAGGGUCUAUUCCAUGUAAAUAUGUAAACAACCAUACAAACUAUUUUUUAGAUAAUGAAGUAACCAUAUAUGCAAAAAAAAAGGUAACCUUAUAUACAAACUAAAAGGAAAAGACAAGUUUAAAAGGCCAGGAGAAGCAACGGUGGGCAAAAUUCAAACAGAAAGGGAAAGG